GACGAACGCUGGCGGCGUGCCUAAUACAUGCAAGUUGAGCGCUGAAGGUUGGUACUUGUACCAACUGGAUGAGCAGCGAACGGGUGAGUAACGCGUGGGGAAUCUGCCUUUGAGCGGGGGACAACAUUUGGAAACGAAUGCUAAUACCGCAUAAAAACUUUAAACACAAGUUUUAAGUUUGAAAGAUGCAAUUGCAUCACUCAAAGAUGAUCCCGCGUUGUAUUAGCUAGUUGGUGAGGUAAAGGCUCACCAAGGCGAUGAUACAUAGCCGACCUGAGAGGGUGAUCGGCCACAUUGGGACUGAGACACGGCCCAAACUCCUACGGGAGGCAGCAGUAGGGAAUCUUCGGCAAUGGACGAAAGUCUGACCGAGCAACGCCGCGUUAGUGAAGAAGGUUUUCGGAUCGUAAAACUCUGUUGGUAGAGAAGAACGUUGGUGAGAGUGGAAAGCUCAUCAAGUGACGGUAACUACCCAGAAAGGGACGGCUAACUACGUG
RNAcentral lists this ribosomal RNA (497 nucleotides) under uncultured bacterium. RNAcentral describes it as "partial 16S ribosomal RNA". It matches the Rfam family "Bacterial small subunit ribosomal RNA", at positions 28 to 507 of the family's 1533-position model. The record is from RNAcentral.